UAAACUAGGAUUAGAUACCCUAUUAUUUUAGAAUGUUAAUUUUUUUGCCUGAGUAGUAUUAGUUAUGUUCUUGAAACUUAAAGAAUUUGGCGGUAUCUCAUUCCGUCCAGAGGAAUCUGUCCCGUUAUCGAUAGUCCACGUUGGACCUUACCUAUUUGAUUUUGGUUUGUAUACCGCCGUUUAUUGAUUAUCCUUUUAGGGGUUGUGUUAAUUUUCUGGUUUCUUUAUUUUGAGAUAUUUCAGGUCAAGGUGCAGCUUGUUUUUAAGUGGAAUGAUGGAUUACAUUGUUAUUUGUUUAUGGAUUGCUGGUUUCAAUAUUGGCAUGAAAUUGGAUUUGGUUGUAAUGAUUUGUAGAUUGUUAUUAUGAUAAUUGGUUCUGAGAUAUGCACACAUCGCCCGUCGCUCUCGUUUGUAUGAUGAGAUAAGUCGUAACAUAGUA
RNAcentral lists this ribosomal RNA (439 nucleotides) under Nasutitermes latifrons. RNAcentral describes it as "partial 12S ribosomal RNA". Lineage: Eukaryota; Metazoa; Arthropoda; Insecta; Blattodea; Termitidae. The record is from RNAcentral.